This 468-nucleotide transfer RNA is filed under the name Serratia marcescens. Its description in RNAcentral is "tmRNA*AMSPGFGAL*". The record is from RNAcentral. Lineage: Bacteria; Pseudomonadati; Pseudomonadota; Gammaproteobacteria; Enterobacterales; Yersiniaceae.
UCAGCAUGAUCUUCAACAGAUCGUGCAGCGGCGCCGACUGGGUUUGCGCAAUCACCGUGCCGGUGAUGCCAGGGCGCGUCUGGCGUUUCAAAUGCCCGUCGAUCUGGAUGCCGGCCUGCGUCAGCUCGUCUUUCAGGAUGGCGCCCGCAUAGCUGGCACCGUCCUGGAUCGCGAAGGCCAACGGCAGCGGUUCGCUGCGCUGCGUCAGGCAGCCGGUCAGGGUAAAGCGGUUCAGCUCGCCCGGCACCACGUCCAGUUCGCAGUACUGCGCGUCAGCGGAGCCGCGCGCCAGGGUGCGCACCUGGCUAAACAUAUUGACCGGAUAAUAGGAGGCAACGCGAAUAAACGCUAUGUCACCCGGGUUCGGCGCGCUAUAGAGCGAGACCGAGAAACAGUUGCGAUCGACGAUGGCGGCGGCCGGCGGCGCGCUGAAGCACUGCGUCAGAUCGUUCCACGGCCAGCCGGGCG